UAAUCCUCAUUCACUGCAUUGAUCUGCAUUAACCUGUGUGCUCAACUUCGAUUUAAUAGCAAAGGCGUUACAUAACAGAGGUAUUAAUUAAAGGUCAAUUCGCCUUGCAGCUGUUUAUUUAUGUCUGGAUAUAUCCUCCUCUAGAGAGCCUCGCACUCAGAUGAAAUUGAAACAAAGAGUGACCUACAAUAGAUGUCGUGCUAGUAAAGCGUGUUAAGCUGCCUGUGGCGAUUCUUGCUAUUGUGUUUGUGUUGUGUUUGACUGCAGCCAUCAGCAGCGAUUACCUCCUAGUGAUGAUAACUGAGUAUGAGGUGUAUAUAUUAUAUCUAGAUGACGAGCCUAAGCAAACGAUCAACCAGUUCGCGCCGACACGCCAACAAUCACUACCCUUAGGGCCUGUUUCACCAAUUGUGGAUAUUUGACGGAUGACGGUAUUCAAGAGAUAAAAGUUUUUAGCAUAUUAUUCUUUUUUACCAUCGAACUCCACUAUAUUUAUGAGAAAUUUCGAAAACGUGAAUAAAAAAGUUGAAGUUUA
Long non-coding RNA from Melitaea cinxia (Glanville fritillary), 535 nucleotides. RefSeq lists it as uncharacterized. The transcript has 2 exons. The record is from RefSeq and is a predicted model, not a curated record. Lineage: Eukaryota; Metazoa; Arthropoda; Insecta; Lepidoptera; Nymphalidae.